RNAcentral lists this long non-coding RNA (886 nucleotides) under Equus caballus (horse). RNAcentral's name for it is "lncRNA (ENSECAG00000047542.1)". The record is from RNAcentral. Lineage: Eukaryota; Metazoa; Chordata; Mammalia; Perissodactyla; Equidae.
GAGGCCGGCCCCCAGGGGCCUCUCACGCAGCGCAGGCGCUUUAAGGCUGAGAGGUGAGCAGAUCUCGCAGGGAGAUCCCGAAGAAGAGGCAGAGAGCCGCCCGCGCCAGCUGUCACUGUUCCAGUGCGUGGCCAUGUUUCCCUUCAGAUAAUAAAUGUCAUCAAGUUUGGUCACACGGGUAUUAAAUCACAUUCAAGCACCUGUUUACCUGCAGAGCAGUUUAAUAUUCAUAGCAAAACUGAGGAGAAAGUACCCACAUACCCUCUGCCCCUCACACACAGCCUCCUCUACUAUUGACACCUGCUCCACAGGGGUUUUGGUGUAGAUGAGUUUUCAACUCCUCCCUGUCAAUACCAAGGAGAGAUUGCUGGAUUAUAAGAAAAGUAUGUCACAGGUAAAGGCCUGGAUUAAUCCUAGUCUGUUGGGGAGAUGGAGGAAACCGCUCAAAGCCCCACAUCUAAAACUGUGCAGUUUAGAAGGCCAAGAACAAAAGUGGGAAGAAAGUCAAUCCAGAACUUCAACCCAGGAUCUCUCUCUCUGCGGUGGCUGCAAUAACCUCCUAAUCAAUCACCCUGCGUCCACUCUCAUUUCCCUGGUCUGUUCACAGAGCCGUCAAAGUGAUGCCCUCAAAUGUGAGCCUGGCUGUGCCACCCCUACUCAUCGUCCAGUGAUCCAUCUGACUAUAAUAACUCCAGUUCUUCCCUGUGCCUCAAAGUCCUGCGUGGUCUGGCCCCAAGGCCUCUUGUGGCCUCAUUCUCACCUUCCUCCCCUCACUCACUGCAUUGUAGCCAUGCUGGGCUCUGCACUCUUCCUCAAACACCCUGGAUACUACCCUUGCCCUGAAACGUUGCCCUUGGAAAGUUCUCCUCACCCACAGCACAUGCCU